UUUAAUGUCUUAUAUUGUAAGUCAUAGAAAGUUAUUAUUUAUGUCCAAGUAGGUAAGACAUUAAAAUAGUUGGGUGACGUUGAAAAUAAAAUAUACGGGAGACUUUUUAUAUCAUGUCUCUAACGUCUCCUAUGAGGAGACUCUAAAUGUUAAAAAUAAAAAAAAUAAAAAUAAAUCAUAUAUAUGACAUGUCUCCAUGUGGUAGACGUGCAAUCUUGUUUACAUUAAAAAAUAAAAAUAAUGUCAUAUUAUUAAAAAAAAAAUAUGCCAUGAAUUUCACGUAUGGUGGGCCAGCCCAUAUGCCUAAUAAACCACAUAUCAGUUCUAAAAGAACCCUUUCUCUAUUAUAAUCCUAACACAAUUUUCUUUCUCUCAUCAUUCCUCAAGUUGUAGCCUAACCUCUUUCCUCUAUCUUUUUUUUAAGACUCUCUCCCUCUAUCUCUUUUUCACCCCACCCACUCUCUCAUGGUCACUCUCUCUCAUUCUCAUCAAGUGAAGGUGGAGACGUGGGUUGCUCAUCGUUCGUGGGGCAGAAUAACGUGGUUGUCAUUCGUUGGUCUGCGCUUGCAGUGCGCAGAGCGGAAGAAUGAAAGCACGGAUGGAAGAAAUCAAGAGAAUGGUGGUGGCUACUAGCUAUUAUGGAACUCAAUAAAGUUUAGACACUUUCAUUUUUUUUUCGGAUUAUGUAUUUUGGGAUUUGAUAUUCUGGUUAUUAAAAAAUAUUAUAAGUAGCAAUUUAUGUUUAAUAUGUUGGAUUUAUUGAUAUGUAGUUGUAAAAUUAUGGUAACAUUUUUUGUUC
Molecule: long non-coding RNA, 799 nt
Organism: Humulus lupulus (European hop)
Lineage: Eukaryota; Viridiplantae; Streptophyta; Magnoliopsida; Rosales; Cannabaceae
Exons: 2
Source: RefSeq, a predicted model, not a curated record